UACCGAAAAAAUAUCUAUCUAAUCAAAAGACUAACAUCAUGUACAUAUUGUAAAAUCUAGUCAAAAUUAAUAAAAAGUCAUCAAGUCACAUAGAUAUUUUAAAAUACGACGAAUUUAAAAUUUUACAUGAAAAAUUACUAGAAAUGAUUAAUUUUACAUGAAAAAUUACUAGAAAUGAUAAUAACAGCCACUCCACCACCACUUUCGAUUUGCCCUGGCUCACAUAUCACUUUAUAAGUAACAAUAAAAGUAACCCUAAAUAUCCACAUCAAAAUUAAGCUCAAACAACUUUAGCGACUUGUUCUCAAGUCUCUUAUCCACAAAAAUUAGACCAAAUGGGGGACCUUGAAGGACCACAAGUUUGACAACAUCUUCCCUCCAACCCCUUUGUUUUAGAGACUUUGAUUUGAAAACAUCCUUAUGACCAAACCAUCAAAAGCUUUAAUAAUUCUUCCUUCCCAUCAAAUCAUUUGCCUGCCCAUUGCUUUCAUUGUCCCACCCAUCAAAACCAAUCUAACGGCUCAGAAUUGACCAUUGGUGGACCCUUUGCCAGCUUACAGGUAACAUGCAAUUUUUUCAUCCAUCAUCAU
RNAcentral lists this long non-coding RNA (590 nucleotides) under Theobroma cacao (cacao). RNAcentral's name for it is "long non-coding RNA (TCAC_LNC004267)". Lineage: Eukaryota; Viridiplantae; Streptophyta; Magnoliopsida; Malvales; Malvaceae. The record is from RNAcentral.